CAGCUCUUCUGAAUGCUGCCUGGAGGAUAAGAACAAAAUCUACUUAUUUGGUGCAAUGAUGCUUUCAAGUUGUGCCUGAAAAACAAACGAGACACAAAGUAACGAGCAGAAGCUGUUUUCACCAAAGCAGCAUGCACAAAAUUGCUCCUGUAAUUAUUUAGUCCCUGCUGCGUAAGUACACAAUUGUUCCUAUUAUGCAAUAUUUAAUGUUAAAUGGUGCAGCUUGUUAUCAGGGAAUCAACUGUAAUGGCCAGCAGCAAAGGAACAAAACAUCUCAACUUGCCUGCACUAGAUUUUCUGAUUUGUAGCUGGGAAGGGGUGGUGCUGCCAUUGUAACCUCACAGUCUUGUUGUGCAGGAGCAGAUUCCUGGAGUAUUGGUCAAGUUUGAAGCAUCUGACUGUAACAGUUCAUCAUUUUCUGAACAAAUUCUGCCCUCUCCCUGGCAAACGUCUGUGCAUGAGUAGAAUUUGGGUAUUCUCACCUGCUGUUUGCAUCAUCAGGUUUACUGAUAGUGACCAGUUACUGAGUGAUCAGGGAAGCAGAGAAU
This is a long non-coding RNA of Pezoporus occidentalis (night parrot), 548 nucleotides long. RefSeq lists it as uncharacterized. NCBI's taxonomy places the organism in Eukaryota, Metazoa, Chordata, Aves, Psittaciformes, Psittacidae. The transcript has 2 exons. The record is from RefSeq and is a predicted model, not a curated record.